GCUGUAGGGAGCACUACACAGCCGACUAUUUACCUUGGAAUGGUGCUGAUGCACAAGGUGAAUUUUGAUGCGAGAUAGAAUAUGACAUGAUCCACGACUACAAGGUUCUCUAGGACGUGUUUCAAAGGUGGAGAUAAGCAAGUAAACGCAGGCACAACCUGUUCGAAGAAAGCACAGGAUGUUUUUGAGGUGUCGGUCUUCUUCUUUGGGGACGCUCACACCCACUACUCUGUCGGCUCCAUUGGCAGGGAAAAGGGUUCUUCCAUUCUCUGUGAGUAUUGUCUUUGAAGGGAAAUGAGUAUUGUAGAUGGGCGUCUCUGCGAUUUCGGCAAAUGGGGAGAUGAAUGACGGGAUGGCUUGCACCAUGGCCACAAACAAGAUUAAGGGAUGAAUAGUACAAAGUUCAUUCAUGGGCGAGGACCCUUGAAGAAAACAACAGGCUGACGGCAAAUGAAGAAGAAAACAGAACACCUUACGGACUCCCUCUUCGACAACGAAGCUGAGCUCUCGAUCCCUUCCAACGCCGCUCCAGCUCUUGACCUCCCAACGCCGCGCUUGAUCCUGGACGACAAAACAAAACUCGCUCCAGUUGACAGCCUCCCCACACCUAAAAUGGAACUGGCCUUCACUCUCUCCUCAGACAACAAAGCCAGCAAUGCCGGACACCUUGAAGAAAAAGGAUCACAAGUACCACCGUCUUAGCAUGAUAUCCGCUAUGUAGCAAUCUACUGUAUUAUUAUAACUGGCUAAUAUACCGCUUUAGGUACUCAAUCCUAUGAAAUAUGUAAUCAAGUACGAGCAUGCACCAAUACCACUAGCUAAUCCCUGUUCCAUGAACGAAA
Lolium rigidum is the source of this 842-nucleotide long non-coding RNA. RefSeq lists it as uncharacterized. Lineage: Eukaryota; Viridiplantae; Streptophyta; Magnoliopsida; Poales; Poaceae. The transcript has 5 exons. The record is from RefSeq and is a predicted model, not a curated record.